AGGCUUUAAACGGGUACCGAGAAGGAUCUACUGCCUUCACACGCGCUCCUUUUAACUUAAAACACUGCUUUCACCUUAAAAGAGAAACAAGAGGAACACACGGAAGCCAGAAAGAGAAUGACGGAAACGGAGGGGUUCAUCUCAAGCAGGGUCCGAAUCCUCAGAUGGAACCACAGGCCACCAGGCCAGCACAGGGGCCUCCGGGAGGGUCUGCCCUGCUCCACGGCCGCAGGGGUGUGUGUGCAUCAGUGAGUGUGCCUGUGUGCAUGCAUGCCAACAGGCGCACAUGCAUGCGUCCACACAAGUACGUGUGUGCAUGUGUGUGAGUGUGCAUGUGUGCGCAUGACUGUGCAUAUAUGUGCACGUGUGUGCGAGUGUGCAUGUGCAUGUGUAUGUGUGCGCAUGAGUGUGUGUGCAUGAGUGCAAGUGUGCAUGUGUGUAUGUAUGUGUGCGAGCGUGUGUGCGCAUGUGCUUGUGUGUGCAUGUGUGCGAGUGUGCAUGUGUGCGAGUGUGCAUAUGUGCAUUGUGUGCGUGUGGUCCGUGUACACAUCUGUCCAUACAUGUGAGUGUGCAUGCAUGUGUUGUGUGUGUACGUGUCUGCACGUUGGUGUGUGUAUAUGUGUGCCUGUGAGUGUGCAGAGAGGCCCUGGCGCUCGAGGAGGGCCUGCAGCUCAUAGUACUCACCCGGCGGGCCCAGUUGACGAGGUCAUCCAGCUUGGCCACCACAUACUCGCCCCGGCUGCUGGGUUUGGGAGCCACGGCUCUGGCCUUUGGCAGGGCAGGCUGGGUGCUGGCACAGAGACACACGGGCACAGGAGGUGUCAGCCACGCAGGUGCUUCCCAGAGGCGGAUGCGAGCCCCCACGGCCGCUGCCAGAGGCCUGGACCCACAUGAGCAGGUCAACAGUGUCCAAGCAAGGACGGUCCCAGGAUCAUCCACAGAAGGAAACUGGCAGCAGGCCCUCCACACAUGACCAAGGAAUCUGCAGUCCGCUAAGCGGGGAGGGCGCUGCCCACGUCAACCUACACAGCAAAGCACCCCUAGAGGAGCCAGCCUCAAAGGAAGCGCAGAGGAGGGAACGCGCCUGCACGAAGUCUCCUGGGAGAUCCUUCCCGAGGCGAAGACUAAGGCCAGAGCAGGGCCUUGCCACGCCCAGGGGCACUCAGCGGGAGGAAACCUGGAGGUGCCAGGAAUCCUGGCUCACAAGGAAGAAUCCAGAAAGGCAGGCUUGGUGCUGGUGAUGGCUGAACUGUGUCCCUCCACCCGACCUGCAUCUGAAGCCCUAACCCCAGGACCUCAGAAUGUGACUGCUUUUGGAGAUGGGGUCUUUAAAGGGAU
RNAcentral lists this non-coding RNA (1338 nucleotides) under Pan troglodytes (chimpanzee). The record is from RNAcentral. Lineage: Eukaryota; Metazoa; Chordata; Mammalia; Primates; Hominidae.